UAGGGAAUCUUCCACAAUGGACGCAAGUCUGAUGGAGCAACGGCCGCGUGAGUGAAGAAGGUUUUCGGACCGUAAAGCUCUGUUGUUGGUGAAGAAGGAUAGAGGUAGUAACUGGCCUUUAUUUGACGGUAAUCAACCAGAAAGUCACGGCUAACUACGUGCCAGCAGCCGCGGUAAUACGUAGGUGGCAAGCGUUGUCCGGAUUUAUUGGGCGUAAAGCGAGCGCGGGCGGAAGAAUAAGUCUGAUGUGAAAGCCCUCGGCUUAACCGAGGAAUUGCAUCGGAAACUGUUUUUCUUGAGUGCAGAAGAGGAGAGUAGAACUCCAUGUGUAGCGGUGGAAUGCGUAGAUAUAUGGAAGAAUACCAGUGGCGAAGGCGGCUCUCUGGUCUGCAACUGACGCUGAGGCUCGAAAGCAUGGGUAGCGAACAGGAUUAGAUACCCUGGUAGUCCAUGCCGUAAACGAUGAGUGCUAAGUGUU
RNAcentral lists this ribosomal RNA (478 nucleotides) under uncultured bacterium. RNAcentral describes it as "partial 16S ribosomal RNA". It matches the Rfam family "Bacterial small subunit ribosomal RNA", at positions 355 to 824 of the family's 1533-position model. The record is from RNAcentral.